GUAGGUGAACCUGCGGAAGGAUCAUUAUCACGUACUUUUCGUACAAACUAAACUCGUGCACCAGUUGCGUUGGUUAACUGGAAGGUGUAAGUUUCAUAGUAAGUUCGGGUGGUUUUUCGUCAUAUUUCAGCUCCUAGCGGGUUGACUUGUGUGCGUUUUAAGAACAGCCAUGUUUAACUUCAAAUUGCCGCAAGGCAGUUUGGGCCUUCCGACUUAUCAAUUGCGACGCUUUAAAAUUGCCGAUUAAUCA
RNAcentral lists this unclassified non-coding RNA (250 nucleotides) under plant metagenome. RNAcentral's name for it is "partial contains small subunit ribosomal RNA, internal transcribed spacer 1, and 5.8S ribosomal RNA". The record is from RNAcentral.